This 460-nucleotide ribosomal RNA is filed under the name Pulchriphyllium bioculatum. RNAcentral's name for it is "Phyllium bioculatum partial 16S ribosomal RNA". The record is from RNAcentral. Lineage: Eukaryota; Metazoa; Arthropoda; Insecta; Phasmatodea; Phylliidae.
AACCUGCCCAAUGAUAUUUAUUUAAUGGCCGCGGUAUUUUGACUGUGCAAAGGUAGCAUAAUCAUUAGCUUAUUGAUUGUGAGAUGGUAUGAAUGGUUGGACGAAAUAUUAACUGUCUUCAUUUUUAUUAAUAUAAAUUAAUUUUUGAGUUAAAAAGCUUAAAUUUUAUUAAAGGACGAGAAGACCCUAUAGAUCUUUAAUAGUUAAAUUUAGUUUGUUUUUGGUUUAUUUUUUUAAUAAGGUUUAAAUUUUUUUUUGUUGGGGUGACAUUUAGAUAUAUUUAACUCUUUAUUUAAUUUUUUCAUUUAUUUUUGUGUAUUUGAUUUUUAUUAUUAUUAAGAUAUAGAUACCUUAGGGAUAACAGCGUAAUUCUUUUUGAGAGUUCAUAUUAACAUGGGAGAUUGCGACCUCGAUGUUGAAUUAAGAUUAUAUUUUGGUGUAGCAGCUUUAUUUUAUUAGU